GCACCAGAAGUGGUUAGCCUAACGCAAGAGGGCGAUCACCACGGUGUGGUUCAUGACUGGGGUGAAGUCGUAACAAGGUAGCCGUAGGGGAACCUGCGGCUGGAUCACCUCCUUAAU
This 117-nucleotide ribosomal RNA is filed under the name Vreelandella neptunia. Its description in RNAcentral is "partial 16S ribosomal RNA". It matches the Rfam family "Bacterial small subunit ribosomal RNA", at positions 1417 to 1533 of the family's 1533-position model. Lineage: Bacteria; Pseudomonadati; Pseudomonadota; Gammaproteobacteria; Oceanospirillales; Halomonadaceae. The record is from RNAcentral.